CACGUAGGGGGCGAGCGUUGUCCGGAUUCAUUGGGCGUAAAGAGCUCGUAGGCGGUGUGUCGCGUCGGCCGUGAAAACCUGCAGCUUAACUGUGGGCUUGCGGUCGAUACGGGCAUCACUGGAGUUCGGCAGGGGAGACUGGAAUUCCUGGUGUAGCGGUGAAAUGCGCAGAUAUCAGGAGGAACACCGGUGGCGAAGGCGGGUCUCUGGGCCGAUACUGACGCUGAGGAGCGAAAGCGUGGGUAGCAAACAGG
Molecule: ribosomal RNA, 254 nt
Filed under: uncultured bacterium
Lineage: Bacteria
Description: partial 16S ribosomal RNA
Rfam family: Bacterial small subunit ribosomal RNA
Source: RNAcentral